GUUCUACCUAAGAGAGAGAACUGGACAAAAAUGCUGAACAGAUUGAUGGUUCACACUCUGUUUCAAAUAUAGAAAAUUAUCUAGAUGAAUGGAGUAAUUUCUCCUUAAGAAGAAAAUCCUCAGAAUUUCCAGAGUACAGAUCAUUCCAGAAUGGCAUGACGAGGCAAGACAUCAUAGAAAAUGUCCUUUUACCUGGCCCUUGAAGAAGUGUAUUUUAAUAGUGAAUUGAAGGCAUGAGUUUUGACUGGUACUCCUUACCUAAUGAAACCGACAGAGCAGUCAUCUUCCUUUACAAGGUACUUGUCCUAGGCCUUGCUUGAGAAUCAUUUGACUUUGCAAUAGGAGCUAGAAUUCUGUGUAGCAGAGAUUGCUGUCUAUUUUGCCUCAUGUUUCAGUGGCUUUGCUAUACAAUGUAUCCAACAGGUUGCUGAUCUGAGUGUUGAAGUAUCUACAGGGACAAGGAACGAGAACCAUACCAACACUUGGUGUUGCUGAGUACAAGACUAGCUGACUAUAGAGACUAGACUGGCUCAAAAAUGUGACUUGCUGGAAACUUGCCUGAGACAAUAGGAGUCAAUCAUCUUUCAAGUUCAAAGGAGGCCCUGGAACAGAGUCAAUCGUAUGUUAAAUUAGUCAGUUCAGUUUCCUAAAACUCAUUUAUAAAAUGUUAGAGAAGCUGCAAGAGGACAGGGAAGAGGGUUAUCUAAGUCACUGGCAAAGAAAUCACUUGGUUUGUGGCCAAGAGAAUAUUGGUGAAAUCAUAUAGGUUUCUGCCCCACCCACACACAGCAAAUGCUCCAUCCAUUCCAGUUGAUUUGAAAGAAGUUGACUUGGUCUAUAUAGCAGAGAAUUUUGCAGCCCUGUGAACAGAUAAGAUAGUUAGGAGAGCCAUACAAUAUUUUAAUGAUAUACAGACGUAGCCAAAGGGUGAAAAUCAGCUCUCUUUUCCUUGGACCUUUGGUAAGAUAAAGGUUUAAGGGCAGUCACAGUUGGCAUCUCAAAAAAAAAAAAUUGGAGAAAUAUUUCUUCAUGAAAUGUGAAAAUUAUUUAAAGCAAUUCUCUUUUCAACACUGUUAGUAGAGUCACUGUGCUAAUAAAUAAUGCCUCAGUCAAGGGCAAUUUCACCAGAUUGUCUGGAUCACUUUGCCGUUGCUUCUCUUUUCCUUUUUUCCUUUAUUUCUUUGCCCUGGAGAAGAAUCAGUGGUGGAUGGCCAGUGAAGGAAGUGAGGAGGAACUUCAAGCUCUAGCGCUAUAAAAGUUAAUCUGGCGCUUCUUUAGUUAAUAUCAGCACCGUGCACAAGUGAUGCUGUGCAUGCCUGGGGUUGUCUUACUCCUUUCCUCUCUGGAGAAGUCCGCUAUCCAUGGGGUUAAAAGCAGGAGUCAGGCUGCCUUGGUUUGAAUCCUGGCCUCACUGCUGACUAGCUGUGUGCCUCUAUAGAAGUUAAUUAAUCUCUCUGGGCUCCAGUAAAAUGAAGGUAACAAUAGUACCAUGUAGGAUCAUUGUGGAGAUUUUAUGAGUUGAUAUUCAUAAAGCACUUAGAAGAGUGUCUAAUACAUAGUAAGCACUAAGUGACUAAAGUUAAAUAAAAUAAAGAAGAUUUACUUAUUUGGGUUUUUUUUACAACUGUUGGAUUUUGGCAAAUGCUCCUAGAAUUUGACUUUCCUUAUCCUGUUUUUCCCCUAUCCAACUGUCAACACAUACUAUCUAUGCCAUUCCAAUGAAAAUCAUGGUACUGUCUUGUAUUCGUCAUCUGUCUCUGGGAGAACAUUUUAAUAAUAAUCCCUGUUAUGCUUUCCUUCAGCCCUCAUUUUAUCACUCUAGUUCCGCGAAACACAGCUCUUUCUAUAGAAUUAGAGGAAUGAAAGAGCCCUGGAAAGGUCAUUAAUUUUUUUUCCCUUACCUCUGCCACCCACUUUCAAGCCAGACCACACACAUAAAUCAUCCCAGCCUUUUUCUUCAUCACACUGUGGUUUCUAUUCACAUUUACUCUGCCCUAAGGAAAUGAUUUUGCUACAGGUGGGCAAAUUCAGCACUAAUGGCAUUACCCUCUGUUUUCAGGGGAACUUUUGAGGGCAAAAUAGUCCCAUUAACAUUGCCAGUUUCACAGUAUUCUUGUCACUGAUCAAGUUUAAUUAUUUCCUGUGCCAUUAUUGAAAAUCCAGAAAUCAACUUCUCACUCACAAGAAAGAAUUCAUGUUCAGAUUGAAUUAUCUCAUGGUAAAUUUCUUAAACUAUUUCUAUAACGGAUUUCCCCUCCUUUUUUCAGACAGUGACUCCAGGGUGAAAAUCAGCUAUUUUCUUGUUACUAGACCGUGAGCUCUAAUUAAACUCUGACUUCAGGAGAAAAAUAUAGCUGGUCAAUUCAAUUAAAAAAUGCAUAAAGGUAGCUAUAUCACACUGCAAGAUGUAACCUGCUUGUCUGGAAUUUUCAUUAUUAAUUGGUUGACUUCACAAUUAUAUAGAGAAACAAAACUUCUGAUUUUUAAAAAAUUCCUGAAAGUUCAAAAUACUGGCUUGAGACUGGUUAUAUGCUUUUUAAGCAUUAUAUUUUCAGCAGCUGGUGUGUGCAUGAUUAAAAAGAUGGAGGUGGUGUGUUUUAUUUUAGACAACAUCUCAAACUCUUCCUGAAAAACUUUUCUGUUGAUAUCUGGUGUCUACUGCACUUUGGAGUUCAUAUAAAUACAGCCAUGUAAUCUUAUGGGGUUCUCCAGGACUCUCCCUCUAUUUGCCACUCUAUCCAUACAGAAUAGAGGGCAGGGACUUCCCAGUCGGUGGAAGAUACAGUUCAAUGCCAAUGACGCCAGGAAUGCCAUUAUCCCAAAAAACGUCCCCGUCCGAAGACUGAAAUCAUAUCGUUUGAGAAUUCGUUUGUUUGAGUUAAGGUUAUUCACCUAUCAAUGCUUUCAAAGAAAAAGCAUCCAACCAACUCAGAACUCUUGGGUCUGAGUGAAGCUUCUUCCCUGUUUUACUCCUUGCGAGGAGACACUAGGGCACAGUUGCAGAAAUAAUCAUGAAUAUUUUCUCUGAUUUUUUAAAAUAGUGUAAGAGAUCCAUUUGUUUAACAAGCAGUUCUUUGGCACCCACUAUAUCACAGGGUCCCAGGCACUGUAGAUGUAAAGAAGAAAGGAAAAAAACAUAGUUAAGGUCCUCUAGAGGGAAGACAAUAUAAUAAUUGAAUAUCGUGCACACAGGUUGUAAGGGGAACAUCUGGCAGUCAUCAGAGCAGUCAUUUGGGGAGAACAGGGAAAGAGAUGUAUAACUCUGGCUGGAGAGACCAGAAAAGACUGCUCUUGAAUAGCGAUUAUUUAAGCCAAGUCUUGAAGGAUAAAUAGGAGUGCAUCAAACAUCAAGAUGAGAAGGAGUAUCGUAGGCUGAGGAGGCAGCAUGUCAAGUAUAGAGAGGUAAUGAAGACAAAAGGAUGAUAAAGGAACCAGGGAUAGAUCAUCAUCACAGGUAGAAGGACUUUGUGAUGAAUUGAUGGGAGAUUCCAUGGAGAAAGUUGUCCUGGGUCCAUUACAUGCUAAGAUUCUGGGCCUUCUCCUAUAGAUCACCAAUUCUCAUAAGAAGAAUUCCCAUGGGCCCCAUCCUUCCAUGGGCAUAUCCAUUAUAAUGCAUAAUUUCAGGUGACCUAACUACAACCUGUCUCAUUUUCUCUUGCUUAAGAAACACUUCUGAAUACCAAGGAGUGAAGAUAAACAGAAGGAUAACCUAGAAUCCUUUCUUGUUUAUCAAAAAAUAAUCUCAAAAUUCAGUUAAUUCCAGUGAGCUCUAUCUAUCUAUUUAUCUAGAUAAAACAAAAAUAGAACAGCUCUUCUCGUAUCAAUGUGCUUUGAGAACAAGGUUAAGAACUACUCUUAGAGAUGAUGAAAAGCAAUAAAGGGAUUGUAUAAAAAGAGUGACAGGUUCAAUUUGCAUUCUGGAAAUAUUGUUCUAUUUAUAAUGAGGGGGAUGGAUUGAAGAUGGUAAAGCAUGGAGGAGAGGGUAGUAGAUGCUACUACAAUAAUCUAGAAAAGGAAUUGAAAUUGUACCAGUUUGAAUAGAGAGAAGAGGAAGGUGCACGAGGAGUGGAAGGGGAAAGACUUGCUCGUCAAGGAAUAUGGAUGAUGAGAGAGAAGGAGGAAAUGAGUCUACUUAGACGUCAAGACAGGCAGCAGAAGAAAAUCAGAAAUGGAAUAAAUUCCAAAGGUAUUGGAACUCCAAAGGCUAACACCUGGAAGCCAUCACCUGCAGAUGCCCAGCCGCCACACACUGUACCCUGCACAGCGGUGUGGGUGCUAAUGGAGAGACCUUGAUCCACCAGUGCACAGUAGGGAAAAUAAACAUACACCUCUCUUUGAAGUAGAAUGGAGAGUGACUCCGUGAAGUCAAGGGGCAUUGUGAAAGAAUGCAAAGCAAAAGGUUUUUCACUAAAGUCUCAUGUAAAUAAAAGUGGUCCUGGGAGGAGAAAAAACAAUACACAGCUGAGAAGAAAUCAACUUUGGAAAGUUCUUUCAGUCAUUUAUCAUUAAAUAGUUAUUAAUAACCUACUACGUGGCAGGCCUGGUUCUGGCCUCUGUGGGACAAAGGAGUAAACAAAGCAGAUAGUUCUACAAGUGACAGCCUAAUUCUUGAAAGAGACAAUUAAAAAAAGAUUGCACAUAUAAAUAUAUAAUUACUACUUUGAUGUUUCAAUGAAAGAAAACUGCAGGGUUCUAUGACAAUGAAACUUUCAGCAAAAAUCCCAAGAAGACAGGAAAACCCUAAGGAG
This 4748-nucleotide long non-coding RNA is filed under the name Equus caballus (horse). Its description in RNAcentral is "lncRNA (ENSECAG00000038040.3)". Lineage: Eukaryota; Metazoa; Chordata; Mammalia; Perissodactyla; Equidae. The record is from RNAcentral.